GUCUAAGUAUAAGCAAUUAUACAGCGAAACUGCGAAUGGCUCAUUAAAUCAGUUAUCGUUUAUUUGAUAGUGCCCAUCUACAUGGAUAACCGUGGUAAUUCUAGAGCUAAUACAUGCGUAAAAGCGCGACUUCGGGAGCGCUGUAUUUAUUAGAUUAAAGACCAAUGCCCUCCGGGGCUCACUGGUGAUUCAUGAUAACUCCUCUGAUCGCACGGCCUUGCGCCGGCGACGGCUCAUUCAAAUUUCUGCCCUAUCAACUUUCGACUUUAGUGUAGUGGACUAAAGUGGUUGCAACGGGUAACGGAGGGUUAGGGCUCGACCCCGGAGAAGGAGCCUGAGAAACGGCUACUACAUCCAAGGAAGGCAGCAGGCGCGCAAAUUACCCAAUCCCGACACGGGGAGGUAGUGACAAUAAAUACUGAUACAGGGCUCUUUCGGGUCUUGUAAUCGGAAUGAGUACAAUCUAAAUCCUUUAACGAGGAGCAAUUGGAGGGCAAGUCUGGUGCCAGCAGCCGCGGUAAUUCCAGCUCCAAUAGCGUAUAUUAAAGUUGUUGUGGUUAAAAAGCUCGUAGUUGAACCUGGGCCCCGUCCCGGCCGGUCCGCCUCACCGCGUGCACUGGUUCGGGAGGGGCUUCGCACCUUGGGGGUACGCAUGCCCUUCGCUGGGCGUGCGGGGAACCAGGACUUUUACUGUGAAAAAAUUAGAGUGUUCAAAGCAGGCCUAUGCUCGAAUACAUUAGCAUGGAAUAAUAAAAUAGGACGUGCGGUUCUAUUUUGUUGGUUAUGGGACCGCCGUAAUGAUUAAUAGGGACAGUCGGGGGCGUCAGUAUUCGGUGGUCAGAGGUGAAAUUCUUGGACCCACCGAAGACUAACUACUGCGAAAGCAUUCGCCAAGGAUGUUUUCAUUAAUCAGGAACGAAAGUUAGGGGAUCGAAAACGAUCAGAUACCGUUGUAGUCUUAACCAUAAACUAUGCCGACUAGGGA
This 985-nucleotide ribosomal RNA is filed under the name Lulworthia sp. NIOCC 28V. RNAcentral's name for it is "SSU rRNA". It matches the Rfam family "Eukaryotic small subunit ribosomal RNA", at positions 57 to 1052 of the family's 1831-position model. Lineage: Eukaryota; Fungi; Ascomycota; Sordariomycetes; Lulworthiales; Lulworthiaceae. The record is from RNAcentral.